CGGACCUUGUACACACCGCCCGUCACAGUACGAAAGUCGUUCACACCAGAAAUUAUUUUAGCUAACCUUAAACGGAGGCGAAUAAUGAAGGUGUGGGGGUGAUUGGACUG
This 110-nucleotide ribosomal RNA is filed under the name uncultured bacterium. Its description in RNAcentral is "partial 16S ribosomal RNA". It matches the Rfam family "Bacterial small subunit ribosomal RNA", at positions 1375 to 1482 of the family's 1533-position model. The record is from RNAcentral.